Molecule: ribosomal RNA, 581 nt
Filed under: uncultured Pseudomonas sp.
Lineage: Bacteria; Pseudomonadati; Pseudomonadota; Gammaproteobacteria; Pseudomonadales; Pseudomonadaceae
Description: bacterial SSU rRNA
Rfam family: Bacterial small subunit ribosomal RNA
Source: RNAcentral
ACGGGUGAGUAAUGCCUAGGAAUCUGCCUGGUAGUGGGGGAUAACGCUCGGAAACGGACGCUAAUACCGCAUACGUCCUACGGGAGAAAGCAGGGGACCUUCGGGCCUUGCGCUAUCAGAUGAGCCUAGGUCGGAUUAGCUAGUUGGUGAGGUAAUGGCUCACCAAGGCGACGAUCCGUAACUGGUCUGAGAGGAUGAUCAGUCACACUGGAACUGAGACACGGUCCAGACUCCUACGGGAGGCAGCAGUGGGGAAUAUUGGACAAUGGGCGAAAGCCUGAUCCAGCCAUGCCGCGUGUGUGAAGAAGGUCUUCGGAUUGUAAAGCACUUUAAGUUGGGAGGAAGGGCAGUUACCUAAUACGUAUCUGUUUUGACGUUACCGACAGAAUAAGCACCGGCUAACUCUGUGCCAGCAGCCGCGGUAAUACAGAGGGUGCAAGCGUUAAUCGGAAUUACUGGGCGUAAAGCGCGCGUAGGUGGUUUGUUAAGUUGGAUGUGAAAUCCCCGGGCUCAGCCUGGGAACUGCAUUCAAAACUGACAGGCUAGAGUAUGGUAGAGGGUGGUGGAAUUUCCUGUGUAGC